AGACCCGAAACCCGGUGAUCUAGCCAUGGGCAGGUUGAAGGUUGGGUAACACUAACUGGAGGACCGAACCGACUAAUGUUGAAAAAUUAGCGGAUGACCUGUGGCUGGGGGUGAAAGGCCAAUCAAACCGGGAGAUAGCUGGUUCUCCCCGAAAGCUAUUUAGGUAGCGCCUCGUGAAUUCAUCUCCGGGGGUAGAGCACUGUUUCGGCUAGGGGGCCAUCCCGGCUUACCAACCCGAUGCAAACUGCGAAUACCGGAGAAUGUUAUCACGGGAGACACACGGCGGGUGCUAACGUCCGUCGUGAAGAGGGAAACAACCCAGACCGCCAGCUAAGGUCCCAAAGUCAUGGUUAAGUGGGAAACGAUGUGGGAAGGCCCAGACAGCCAGGAUGUUGGCUUAGAAGCAGCCAUCAUUUAAAGAAAGCGUAAUAGCUCACUGGUCGAGUCGGCCUGCGCGGAAGAUGUAACGGGGCUAAACCAUGCACCGAAGCUGCGGCAGCGACACUCAGGUGUUGUUGGGUAGGGGAGCGUUCUGUAAGCCUGCGAAGGUGGCCUGUGAGGG
Molecule: ribosomal RNA, 562 nt
Filed under: Salmonella enterica subsp. enterica serovar Infantis
Lineage: Bacteria; Pseudomonadati; Pseudomonadota; Gammaproteobacteria; Enterobacterales; Enterobacteriaceae
Also listed under: 2 other names
Description: partial 23S ribosomal RNA
Rfam family: Bacterial large subunit ribosomal RNA
Source: RNAcentral